GAAACGCUGGCGGUAUGCCUACUUUGCACGUCGUACCAUGGUAUCCGUAUUGCUGGGUGGAUUAGUGGCAAACGGGUGAGUAACUCCUGAGUAACCUGCCCUUAGCUCUGGAAUAACCCUGGGAAACUGGGUCUAAUACCGGAUAGGAGCGUCUACCGCAUGGUGGGUGUUGAAAAGAUUUAUCGGUUUUGGAUGGUUUCGCGGCCUAUUAGCUUGUUGGUGAGGUAAUGGCUCACCAAGGCGACGACGGGUAGCCGGCCUGAGAGGGUGACCGGCCACACUGGGAACUGAUACACGGCCCAAACUCCUACGGGAGGCAGCAGUGGGGAAUAUUGCAGAAUGGUUCCAUGCCUGAUGCAUGCCCGCCGCAUGAGGGAUGACUGCCUUCUGGUUGUAAACUUCUUUCAGUACUAAAAAAGCCAAUAUGACGGUACCUGCAAAAAAAGCACCGGUUAACUACGUGCCAGCAUACGCGGUAAUACGUAGGGUGCGAGCGUUAUCCGGAAUUAUUGGUAGUAAAAAUCUCUUAGGCGGUUUGUCGCGUC
This 545-nucleotide ribosomal RNA is filed under the name Micrococcus sp. HPC 552. RNAcentral describes it as "bacterial SSU rRNA". It matches the Rfam family "Bacterial small subunit ribosomal RNA", at positions 30 to 589 of the family's 1533-position model. The record is from RNAcentral. Lineage: Bacteria; Bacillati; Actinomycetota; Actinomycetes; Micrococcales; Micrococcaceae.